GACGAACGCUGGCGGCGUGCCUAAUACAUGCAAGUCGAGCGAACAGACGAGGUGCUUGCUCCUCUCACGUUAGCGGCGGACGGGUGAGUAACACGUGGAUAACCUACCUAUAAGAGUGGGAUAACUUCGGGAAACCGGAGCUAAUACCGCAUAAUAUAUUGAACCGCAUGGUUCAUUAGUGAAAGACGGUUUUGCUUUCACUUAUAGAUGAAUCGGCGCCGCUUUAGCUGUUGGUUAAGGAACCGGCUUACCAGGGCGACGAUGCGUAGCGGACCGGAGGGGGUGAUCGGCCACACGGGAACUGAGACACGGUCCAGACUCCUACGGGAGGCGGCGGUAGGGAAUCUUCCGAAAUGGGCGAAAGCCUGACGGAGCAACGCGGCGUGAGUGAUGAAGGUCUUCGAAUCGUAAGACUCUGUUAUUAGGGAGGAACAAAUGUGUAAGUAACUAUGCACGUCUUGACGGUACCUAACCAGAAAGCCACGGCUAACUACGUG
RNAcentral lists this ribosomal RNA (497 nucleotides) under uncultured bacterium. RNAcentral describes it as "partial 16S ribosomal RNA". It matches the Rfam family "Bacterial small subunit ribosomal RNA", at positions 28 to 507 of the family's 1533-position model. The record is from RNAcentral.